UACGGGGGGGAGCAAGCGUUGUUCGGAUUUACUGGGCGUAAAGGGCGCGUAGGCGGCCUUCUAAGUCAGACGUGAAAUCCCUCGGCUCAACCUGGGAACUGCAUUCGAGACUGUCUAGCUAGAGUAUGGGAGAGGGAAGUGGAAUUUCAGGUGUAGCGGUGAAAUGCGUAGAUAUCUGAAGGAACAUCAGUGGCGAAAGCGACUUCCUGGACCAAUACUGACGCUCAUGUGCGAAAAGCGUGGGGAGCAAACAGG
This 255-nucleotide ribosomal RNA is filed under the name uncultured bacterium. RNAcentral describes it as "partial 16S ribosomal RNA". It matches the Rfam family "Bacterial small subunit ribosomal RNA", at positions 524 to 776 of the family's 1533-position model. The record is from RNAcentral.